AACCUUCGGGGGAUUUGUUGGGCGGCGAGCGGCGGACGGGUGAGUAAUGCCUAGGAAAUUGCCCUGAUGUGGGGGAUAACCAUUGGAAACGAUGGCUAAUACCGCAUGAUGCCUACGGGCCAAAGAGGGGGACCUUCGGGCCUCUCGCGUCAGGAUAUGCCUAGGUGGGAUUAGCUAGUUGGUGAGGUAAGGGCUCACCAAGGCGACGAUCCCUAGCUGGUCUGAGAGGAUGAUCAGCCACACUGGAACUGAGACACGGUCCAGACUCCUACGGGAGGCAGCAGUGGGGAAUAUUGCACAAUGGGCGCAAGCCUGAUGCAGCCAUGCCGCGUGUAUGAAGAAGGCCUUCGGGUUGUAAAGUACUUUCAGUAGGGAGGAAGGUUCAUGCGUUAAUAGCGUAUGGAUUUGACGUUACCUACAGAAGAAGCACCGGCUAACUCCGUGCCAGCAGCCGCGGUAAUACGGAGGGUGCGAGCGUUAAUCGGAAUUACUGGGCGUA
This 499-nucleotide ribosomal RNA is filed under the name Vibrio sp. RNAcentral's name for it is "bacterial SSU rRNA". It matches the Rfam family "Bacterial small subunit ribosomal RNA", at positions 70 to 562 of the family's 1533-position model. Lineage: Bacteria; Pseudomonadati; Pseudomonadota; Gammaproteobacteria; Vibrionales; Vibrionaceae. The record is from RNAcentral.